AGGCGACGAUGCUUAGCUGGUCUGAGAGGAUGAUCAGCCACACUGGAACCGAGACACGGUCCAGACUCCUACGGGAGGCAGCAGUGGGGAAUAUUGCGCAAUGGGGGAAACCCUGACGCAGCAAUACCGCGUGAGUGAGGAAGGCCUUCGGGUUGUAAAGCUCUGUCAGAUGGGAAGAACGAUAUAGGGUCCAAUAGGCCUUAUAAGUGACGGUACCAUCAAAGGAAGCACCGGCUAACUUCGUGCCAGCAGCCGCGGUAAUACGAAGGGUGCAAGCGUUGUUCGGAUUUACUGGGCGUAAAGCGCGCGCAGGCGGAUUAAUAAGUCAGAUGUGA
Molecule: ribosomal RNA, 335 nt
Filed under: uncultured Halobacteriovorax sp.
Lineage: Bacteria; Pseudomonadati; Bdellovibrionota; Bacteriovoracia; Bacteriovoracales; Halobacteriovoraceae
Description: bacterial SSU rRNA
Rfam family: Bacterial small subunit ribosomal RNA
Source: RNAcentral